This 356-nucleotide ribosomal RNA is filed under the name uncultured bacterium. Its description in RNAcentral is "partial 16S ribosomal RNA". It matches the Rfam family "Bacterial small subunit ribosomal RNA", at positions 338 to 691 of the family's 1533-position model. The record is from RNAcentral.
CCUACGGGAGGCAGCAGUGAGGAAUAUUGGUCAAUGGGCGGAAGCCUGAACCAGCCAAGUAGCGUGCAGGAUGACGGCCCUACGGGUUGUAAACUGCUUUUAUACGGGAAUAACGCGCCUUACGUGUAGGCCUUUGCAUGUACCGUAUGAAUAAGGACCGGGUAAUACCGUGCCAGCAGCCGCGGUAAUACGGAAGGUCCGGCCGUUAUCCGGAUUUAUUGGGUUUAAAGGGAGCGUAGGCCGCAUGUCAAUCGUGCUGUGAAAUGUCCGGGGUCAACCCGGGCCUUGGAGCGCGAACCGGCGUGCUUGAGUCCGCGGAAAGCAGGCGGAAUUCGUCGUGUAGCGGGGAAAUGCUU